Molecule: ribosomal RNA, 252 nt
Filed under: uncultured bacterium
Lineage: Bacteria
Description: partial 16S ribosomal RNA
Rfam family: Bacterial small subunit ribosomal RNA
Source: RNAcentral
GACGUAGGGCGCGAGCGUUGUCCGGAUUUAUUGGGCGUAAAGAGCUCGUAGGCGGCUUGUCGCGUCGUCCGUGAAAACUUGGGGCUCAACCCCAAGCUUGCGGUCGAUACGGGCAGGCUAGAGUUCGGUAGGGGAGACUGGAAUUCCUGGUGUAGCGGUGAAAUGCGCAGAUAUCAGGAGGAACACCGGUGGCGAAGGCGGGUCUCUGGGCCGAUACUGACGCUGAGGAGCGAAAGCGUGGGAGCGAACAGG